This is a long non-coding RNA of Dermochelys coriacea (leatherback sea turtle), 201 nucleotides long. RefSeq lists it as uncharacterized. The record is from RefSeq and is a predicted model, not a curated record. The transcript is spliced from 2 exons. Lineage: Eukaryota; Metazoa; Chordata; Testudines; Dermochelyidae.
GGGCACCCACCCUUACCCUGUUCCUAGGGCUCAGGCAUAACCCUCUUAAUUUAGGCACUCACCCUUAGCCUUCUGUAGGCUCCGAGCAUAACCUUACACUCUGCAGGUUUGCGGGGUCUUUUACUAGUGAGAGAGCCUCACACAGUAAUGUUCUACUUAACCUCUGUUUAUUAACAAUUACCAAAAAAAAAAAAAAAAGAA